This is a long non-coding RNA of Cercocebus atys (sooty mangabey), 3933 nucleotides long. RefSeq lists it as uncharacterized. The record is from RefSeq and is a predicted model, not a curated record. The transcript has 2 exons. NCBI's taxonomy places the organism in Eukaryota, Metazoa, Chordata, Mammalia, Primates, Cercopithecidae.
AACCCUUGGGCUCAAGCAGUCCUCCUGCCUCAGCCUCCCAAAAUGCUGGGUCCAAGAAGAAAGAACAGAUCUGGAGGUGGAGAUUUGGGAGGAUCAUAACAGAAGAGGAAAUACGUAAAGCCAUGAGAAUGGACUUGAUCACCACAAGAGCAGGUAUAGAAAGAAAAAGAGUUCUGAGGACUGAGCCCCAGAGCUCCCCAACAUUAAGAGGUGCCAGCAGAGCAGAGUGAGGUACAUGUGAGCUUGUGUUAUGCAGCAAAUGCUAACUGAUACAGGGCUAAUUUCCUUCCUGUGCAAGGAGCUCCUACUCCUCUUUCUUAUUCAAAGAACCCCUAUGAAUCAGUAAGUAAAAUAAUAAUAAAAGGAGAGUGAGAAGGGCCAGGGAAUAUGAGAAAAGUGAGGAGAAUGAGGAGUCUUGGAAGCCAAAUGAAGAAAGUGUUUCAAGGAACAGCCAAGGAUCAGUGCAUAAGAGAUAGUUAUUAUACAUACGAUGAGGAUGGGAAGAGAAUGCCAGGUUUGAACCCAGCGGAAGUCACUGUUGACCUUCACAACAGCAAUUUUUAGUGGAGUGGUGAGGGUGGCAAAGAUAUGAUUGGAAUAAAAAGGUGUAUAGUAAAACUUCUCCUUCUCCCUCCUAUCAGUCAUCUGCUCAUUUCCCAGAACCCCUGCCCCCACCCAGGGAACCACUUUUAUUAAUUUCUUAUUUAUACAUCAAGAGUUUUUAUGCAAAUAUAAGUAUACAUGGAAAAUAUAUAUUCUCACUCUAUAGUUUUUUACAUAAAAGUUAGCAUUUUAAGUAUACUUCUCUAUACCUUGCUAUUUUCCUAAGCUAUCCUAAGGCUCUUUCCUAUCUGUUCUUAAAGAGCUUCCUCAUUCUUGGUUGUCUUCUGUACAAUGGUUCAUUAUGGACAUGCCCUGACCAGUUCCCUGUUGAUAGACAUGUGGGCUGUCUCCAGUGUUUUAUUGUUGAUUAUACAAAAAAUUCUUCAGUGAAUGACCUUUUCACAAUACAUGUGUGGGUAUAUUUAUAGGGCAAUUCUUCCAAAGUGGAUUUCUGGGUCCAAGGGUAGAUUAUAAUUUGGUAGAUGUUGCAAAUUGCCACAGGAGUCAUACCAGUUUGCAUUCCCAUCAGCAACAUGUGUGAAUACAGUUAAGUCUCUAUUGAUGGAAAGUGAGAUUACUUCAAAUAUUUUGCCAUUGCAAAAUAAGAAGCAAAGGAUACACCUGAAUAUGCAAAAAUUUCUUAUGCAUGAGAAUAUAUUUGCAGAAUAGAGAUCCUGAUUGAUUUGUAGUGGUUCUUUCUAUCAUCACGUGAAAGAAAUUAGCCCUUGUAUCAGUUAGCUUUUACUGUAUGAGACAAGCUCCAAAGUGGAUGGCUAAACAGCUGUUUAUUCAGCUCCUGGUUCUUUGGGCCUGCAAUAUGGAUUGGGAUUAGCUGGGUGGUUCUGCUCUUUGGGGCCAGGCUGGGCUGAUCUUGGCUGGGCUUGUUGAGGAACAGCUAGGGUGGGAGUGCUCAGCCGGGUGGUUUUCUUCUUUCUGCUCCAUGUGAUCAAUCAGCCUCCACCUAGCUGGUCUAGGCUUUUUCACAAGGCAACUCAUGGUUCAAGAGCAGUCAGAGACCAAAAGCCCUUGCACAAGUGCUUUUCAAGCCUCUGCAUCACAUUUGUACUAUCCCAUUGGCUGAGGCAAGUCAAGUCCAGUGUCCGUGUGGUAAGACACUACCCAAGGGCAUGGAUACAGGGAGGCAUGAACAAAUCUGGGUCAUUACUACAACCAAUCCAUGGUGGGCCACAAAGGCCUAAUCUUAAUUCUCUGUCGUAAGUAUUUUGGGUUACCACUCUAGUCCGUUUAUUGAUAAAGCAAGGGACUGUGCUAGAAGUGGCGAUGAUCCUUGAAGCAGCUGAUCACAACAGUUUCAGUUCUGGAAUAUGAGCUUCCUUACAGUGAAGCUCUUGCCUUCUGUAGAGAGACCAUUCAUAAUGGUGAUGGAGCCAUGAGGACUGGGUGCAGGACUAUGCAGAAUGUGGAAUGGCCUUGCUUUCUGGCUUUAAACACAGAUUUUUAUUUUCCAAAGCUGUCUUCUUUCCUUCACUGACCAGGUAUCCCUCUGGCAUUCCACACAACCUGGCAGGACAGGUUUGAUCUCUGCUGAUUUCAGCUGCCAACAUGUUUCAGUGGAAACAGACCACAUCCAAGCCACAGCCUUCAGAAUCAUGCUGGGACAGUUAGGUGACUGAGCAGAAAUUUUGACUCAUCGAAAAUAGUCUUCCUGACCCUUGUUCUCAUCUAAUUUAUAUUUUUCAUUUCAUAAAUGGAGUUGACUUGACUGAGUCAGACCAGGAGCCUGCUAUUUUGGGGAGAAAAGUCUAUAAUAAAAUCCAUGAAAUUAGUCCUCUGAGAGUGUGGGCAGAGAGGUGACAGUGACUGUGCAACCCUUGAGGCAUGAGUGUUUCUGUGACGUGAUGUUGUCAUCCACAUGCAGGCCUGAGAAACCAAGGAGAGCCCUUGAAAGGGGGCAGGAAGAGGAGGAGAAAGAGAAGUGACUUUUACUGAGCACCUACUGCAUUCCAAGCACAGCACAAGGCACUGUGUAUACAGAGACACGUAAGAUGCUGUCUCAGUCCUGAAUAGACAUCAGCUAAUAUGUAAGAAAUCCCACAAAAACACGGUAUCAAGAAGGAAGAGGAGAAGGUGGAGCAGAUAGGGAAGGAGGAAAAAUAAAGAAACAAAAGGAAUUACACCAAAACAAGGGUAGUGAGAAGGGCUAAUUCAGAUGAAAACGCUCAGCACGGAUCUGAGGAAUGUACCGUAGGACUGGGACGGAGGGAAACAGGGUGAAGAAAGCAGCUGAAGAUCAGUUUGUUUUGAAAGUAACCAGCUUUUGUGCAUCACUGUUUACACUUGUGGAAGAAAGGCCCUGGGGCGUGCUGUAGAAUUGCAGCCUCCCUGGUGGGUGUUGGCCCUGCUGUCUGUCCCUCUUGGAGGAGCUGAGAUGCCGCCUGGCCCCCUUGUCCCCCAGACAUAGGCACUCACACGCAGAAUGACUUCACAGCCCAGCUCCUCGCUGCCUUUAACUCAGUGAAUCUGCUGUCGCACUGUUUGUUGACCUUGAGGUACAAACGCCUGAUUGUAGUACAAGGAGUCGUCUCUUCCCUGGGUAUUAAAAACAUUGUUAGGGGUCAAAAUCUCAAACCAAGAGAGCAGGCUCUGAUGGUAGGAUUGCAGCACUCAGCCUGUGGGCAGAGGAAGGGUGGGGGAUCAGUGUCACAAUAAAGGAAAAUGCCUGGUCCUACCCAGAAGUCAACCCUGAAAAUGUUGAAUAUGGACCCUGAAUUGUCUUAGCAAAGCUGUGAUGAAAUGACAAGCGGACUUGUUAGAAUCCAGUUUCCUCUAUGAACGGACUUGAUGGAAAGCCAAGCAUGUGAGGGAAGCCCCUGGCCUACCAUACCGUGUCCUGCUUGAAGCUUUUGGGAGUUUUCAAGGAGGUGCAGAGAUUUUAGUUUCUGUAAAACCACUGGAUAGCUGUGAUCAUGACCUCAAAGUCCAUCCUCCUCCACUGUCUUCCUUCUGCUGGAAAUUAAAAGGAUUUGGGCUUUAAGUCUGAGAGACAUGGGUUUAAAUUCUCCUUCUGCCUGCAUUCAAUCACUGGUCUCACAAGCAGGUGUAGGGCAGAUACUCUGCAUGGGCUCUGGGGCUAUAGACAAAGCAGAUGAGGGUCCUGACCCUGAGGGGGUUUACAUUCUAGCUGGAAUGACAUGCAAUGCAGUGGUUAGUUACAACAGGGAUUGUGACCAGGUAAGUGCAUGUACCAUGGAGAAACCCAUGUGGCUGCAGGUCCACGGGGGCUUUCAUGAGUGAGUGACUUAACUGAGCGCUGAAAUGUGGAAGGAGGAUAAGUGAGGGGGUGGGACGUAGAGCAGAGCAGCCAGAGAG